UUCUUUAAUUGGGGGCUGGAAUGAAAGGUUAAUACCAAAGAGAAAGUUUUAUUAAGCGAAUUUGAAAUUAAUUUAGGGGUAAAAAAGCUUUUAUUAACCCUUGGGACGAGAAGACCCUAGAAGCUUUAAAUUUUAUAAUUUUUUAUUGGGGUAAUUUAUGAAGAUUUUAAUUUUUAAAAAUUUAAUUUAAAGAUUAAAGUUACUCUAGGGAUAACAGCGUUAUUUAAUUAGUUAGUUCUUAUAUAUAUUUAAGUUUGCGACCUCGAUGUUGAAUUAAAUUUAAUUUUGGUGAAGGGGCUAAGGAAAUUAGUCUGUUCGACUAUUAAAAAUUUACGUGAUCUGAG
RNAcentral lists this ribosomal RNA (344 nucleotides) under Metalibitia paraguayensis. Its description in RNAcentral is "partial large subunit ribosomal RNA". The stretch from base 74 to 344 matches the Rfam family "Bacterial large subunit ribosomal RNA", at positions 2048 to 2609 of the family's 2925-position model. Lineage: Eukaryota; Metazoa; Arthropoda; Arachnida; Opiliones; Cosmetidae. The record is from RNAcentral.